This 229-nucleotide long non-coding RNA is filed under the name Elaeis guineensis (African oil palm). RNAcentral's name for it is "long non-coding RNA (EGUI_LNC005284)". The record is from RNAcentral. Lineage: Eukaryota; Viridiplantae; Streptophyta; Magnoliopsida; Arecales; Arecaceae.
UUCUGAAGAAGAAACAAGUGAAGGUUAUGAACCCUCUACUGAGGAAGUGGUCAAAGUAGUUUGGGAUCGGGAUUGGGAUUAGAAUCCCUAGGUGCAUUGAGUGGCAGUCGACGACAAAAAGUGUUGAUUCACUGCAAAGUAACCACCCAAGGUUCCCCAUAUUCCAAUCUGAUAGAUGUCAAGGAAAGCGAGGGAGGGGGAGCUCGAUUGGAAUCGACUAACAAAGUGG